Molecule: ribosomal RNA, 581 nt
Filed under: Streptomyces sp. QA47
Lineage: Bacteria; Bacillati; Actinomycetota; Actinomycetes; Kitasatosporales; Streptomycetaceae
Description: bacterial SSU rRNA
Rfam family: Bacterial small subunit ribosomal RNA
Source: RNAcentral
GUGGAUUAGUGGCGAACGGGUGAGUAACACGUGGGCAAUCUGCCCUUCACUCUGGGACAAGCCCUGGAAACGGGGUCUAAUACCGGAUAACACUUCUGCCUGCAUGGGCGGGGGUUAAAAGCUCCACCGGUGAAGGAUGAGCCCGCGGCCUAUCAACUUGUUGGUGGGGUAAUGGCCUACCAAGGCGACGACGGGUAGCCGGCCUGAGAGGGCGACCGGCCACACUGGGACUGAGACACGGCCCAGACUCCUACGGGAGGCUCAGUGGGGAAUAUUGCACAAUGGGCGAAAGCCUGAUGCAGCGACGCCGCGUGAGGGAUGACGGCCUUCGGGUUGUAAACCUCUUUCAGCAUGGAAGAAGCGAAAGUGACGGUACCUGCACAACAAGCGCCGGCUAACUGCGUGCCAACCGCCGCGGUAAUACCUACGGUGAAGGCUUUGUCCGGAAUUAUUGGGCGUAAAAAGCUCGUAGGCGGCUUGUCACUUCGGAUGUGAAAGCCCGGGGCUUAACCCCGGGUCUGCAUUCGAUACGAGCUAGCUAGAGUGUGGUAGGGGAGAUCGGAAUUCCUGGUGUAGCGUUG